Molecule: ribosomal RNA, 253 nt
Filed under: uncultured bacterium
Lineage: Bacteria
Description: partial 16S ribosomal RNA
Rfam family: Bacterial small subunit ribosomal RNA
Source: RNAcentral
UACGUAGGUGGCAAGCGUUGUUCGGAAUCAUUGGGCGUAAAGCGCACGUAGGCGGCUCCAAAAGUCGGAUGUGAAAUCCCUGGGCUCAACCGAGGAAGUGCAUCCGAAACUGCGGAGCUGGAGUAUGGAAGAGGGUCGCGGAAUUCCCGGUGUAGAGGUGAAAUUCGUAGAUAUCGGGAGGAACACCAGUGGCGAAGGCGGCGACCUGGGCCAAUACUGACGCUGAGGUGCGAAAGCGUGGGGAGCAAACAGG